Molecule: transfer RNA, 72 nt
Filed under: Ovis aries (sheep)
Lineage: Eukaryota; Metazoa; Chordata; Mammalia; Artiodactyla; Bovidae
Rfam family: tRNA
About the family: Transfer RNA (tRNA) molecules are approximately 80 nucleotides in length. Their secondary structure includes four short double-helical elements and three loops (D, anti-codon, and T loops).
Source: Rfam by way of RNAcentral
UCCCUGGUGGUCCAGUUGUUACGACUUUGCCUUCCAAUGCAGGUGGUGUUGGUUUGAUCCCUAUCCAGGGAG